CAGGCCUAACACAUGCAAGUCGAACGCUCCGCAAGGGGAGUGGCGCACGGGAGAGUAACGCGUGGGAACCUACCUAUUGGUUCGGGACAACACCGGGAAACUGGUGCUAAUACCGGAUAAGCCCGAGAGGGGAAAGAUUUAUCGCCGAUAGAUGGGCCCGCGUUAGAUUAGCUAGUUGGUGAGGUAAGAGCUCACCAAGGCGACGAUCUAUAGCUGGUCUGAGAGGAUGAUCAGCCUCACUGGGACUGAGACACGGCCCAGACUCCUACGGGAGGCAGCAGUGGGGAAUAUUGGACAAUGGGGGCAACCCUGAUCCAGCCAUGCCGCGUGAAUGAUGAAGGCCUUCGGGUUGUAAAGUUCUUUUGGUAGGGACGAUGAUGACGGUACCUACAGAAUAAGCUCCGGCUAACUUCGUGCCAGCAGCCGCGGUAAUAAU
Molecule: ribosomal RNA, 436 nt
Filed under: uncultured bacterium
Lineage: Bacteria
Description: bacterial SSU rRNA
Rfam family: Bacterial small subunit ribosomal RNA
Source: RNAcentral